RNAcentral lists this ribosomal RNA (364 nucleotides) under uncultured Pelotomaculum sp. Its description in RNAcentral is "bacterial SSU rRNA". It matches the Rfam family "Bacterial small subunit ribosomal RNA", at positions 1017 to 1382 of the family's 1533-position model. Lineage: Bacteria; Bacillati; Bacillota; Clostridia; Eubacteriales; Desulfotomaculaceae. The record is from RNAcentral.
CCUCGGGUGACAGGGAGACAGGUGGUGCAUGGUGUCGUCAGCUCGUGUCGUGAGAUGUUGGGUUAAGUCCCGCAACGAGCGCAACCCCUACGUUUAGUUGCUAACGCGUGAAGGCGAGCACUCUAGACGAACUGCCGUUGACAAAACGGAGGAAGGUGGGAUGACGUCAAAUCAUCAUGCCCCUUAUGUUCUGGGCUACACACGUGCUACAAUGGCCGGUACAGACGGACGCAAAGCCGCGAGGUGGAGCAAAUCCUAAAAAGCCGGUCUCAGUUCGGAUUGCAGGCUGCAACUCGACUGCGUGAAGUUGGAAUCGCUAGUAAUCGUAGAUCAGCAUGCUACGGUGAAUACGUUCCCGGGCCUU